GGUCAAGUUAUUAAGGGUGCAGGGCGGAUGCCUUGGCACUAGGAGCCGAUGAAGGACGUGAUAAGCUGCGAUAAGCUUCGGGGAGUUGCACGUAAACUUUGAUCCGAAGAUUUCCGAAUGAGGAAACUCACUUAGAGUAAUGUCUAAGUAUCAUUAAGUGAAUACAUAGCUUAAUGAGGGGAACUCAGGGAACUGAAACAUCUAAGUACCUGAAGGAAGAGAAAGAAAUUCGAUUCCGUAAGUAGCGGCGAGCGAACGCGGAUUAGCCCAAACCAAUAAAGUUUUCUUUAUUGGGGUUGCGGACAUAUCAUAACGAAGAGGUAUCGUAAUUGAAGAGGUUUGGAAAGACCCACCACAGAAGGUAAUAGUCCUGUAUGUUAAACGAGAAGACUUUAGAUAUGAUCCAGAGUACCACGGGACACGUGAAACCCUGUGGGAAGCAGGAGGGACCACCCUCCAAGGCUAAAUACUACCUAGUGACCGAUAGCGUAUAGUACCGUGAGGGAAAGGUGAAAAGAACCCCGGGAGGGGAGUGAAAUAGAACCUGAAACCCUGCACUUACAAGCUGUGGAAGCACAUUUCUUGUGUGACCGCGUACUUUUUGUAGAACGGGCCAACGAGUUACGUUAAGUAGCAAGGUUAAGCACUUAAGGUGCGGAGCCGUAGCGAAAGCGAGUUUUAACUGAGCGUUCAGUUACUUGACGUAGACCCGAAACCGGGCGACCUACCCAUGAGCAGGAUGAAGCGAAAGUAAAAUUUCGUGGAGGUCCGAACCCACGAGCGUUGAAAAGCUCGGGGAUGACUUGUGGGUAGCGGUGAAAUUCCAAUCGAGCCCGGAGAUAGCUGGUUCUCCCCGAAAUAGCUUUAGGGCUAGCCUCAAGGUGAGAGAUACGGAGGUAGAGCACUGAAUGUCCUAGGGGGUAUUGCACCUACCGAAGACUAUCAAACUCCGAAUGCCGUCAUCUUAUACUUGGGAGUCAGACUGUGGGUGAUAAGAUUCAUAGUCGAAAGGGCAACAGCCCAGAUCGUCAGCUAAGGUCCCUAAAUGUAAGUUAAGUGGUAAAGGAUGUGGGAUUGCACAGACAACCAGGAUGUUGGCUUAGAAGCAGCCACUCAUUCAAAGAGUGCGUAAUAGCUCACUGGUCGAGUGAUCCUGCGCCGAAGAUUUCCGGGGCUAAAACUUACUACCGAAGCUACGGCAUCAGUAAUGAUGGGUAGGGGAGCUUCCCAUACGGGUUGAAGCAUGACCGUAAGGACAUGUGGACAGUAUGGGAGUGAGAAUGUUGGCAUGAGUAGCGAGAUGU
This 1304-nucleotide ribosomal RNA is filed under the name Clostridioides difficile. RNAcentral's name for it is "partial 23S ribosomal RNA". It matches the Rfam family "Bacterial large subunit ribosomal RNA", at positions 1 to 1317 of the family's 2925-position model. The record is from RNAcentral. Lineage: Bacteria; Bacillati; Bacillota; Clostridia; Peptostreptococcales; Peptostreptococcaceae.